GGACGGUGCCCCAUGGAGUGUUAGCUUCCGAAAGCAGAAACCUUGGUAAGGAUUUGGAUGGACAGGAUUUGAGUUUUGAAUUCAUAGAGAGUAAGAAGUGGAAGACAUCAGCCAGCAUGACAGUUACAAUACUGUUUUUCAUAAAUUGAAGUUUCUAUCCUGGAGAGGAUCAGACUCUCCUAAGAAACUCAACUAUUGUGACUUUUGAAAAAUGAGCUUUUUGACCCUGUGAUUGGAGAAAGAGCUUGGAGAAAGAUUCAAAAGCUCAGAGGUCAAAAGGCAAACAGAAAGGUAUCUACAUUUGCCAUCGAAAAGCUGUAUUUGGGGAAGAAAUGUAUUAGCUGCAUAUCUGAGGCUGUAACUACUGGUAUGAUAUAUCAACCUGCUCCCUCUUGAGAGCAAGAAGCAUACAAAUAGUGAUCAUAUAACACUGAUCUGUAUUAGUAGGAAUACUAAGUACCUCGCUUUUGUCAAUGAAAUCAAUGUAAAUUAACACUGGGCAGGAGUUGGAUUUUUAUUUCCUUUAGCAUAGUGCAAUA
Long non-coding RNA from Oxyura jamaicensis (ruddy duck), 539 nucleotides. RefSeq lists it as uncharacterized. NCBI's taxonomy places the organism in Eukaryota, Metazoa, Chordata, Aves, Anseriformes, Anatidae. The record is from RefSeq and is a predicted model, not a curated record. The transcript has 3 exons.